GAUGAACGCUGGCGGCGUGCUUAACACAUGCAAGUCGAACGAGAAGUGAAGACGGAAACCUUCGGGCGGAAGGCUUUAUUUCGAGUGGCGGACGGGUGAGUAACGCGUGGGUAACCUGCCUCAUACAGGGGGAUAACAGUUGGACACGACUGUUAAUACCGCAUAAGACUACAGCACCGCAUGGUGCGGGGGUAAAAACUCCGGUGGUAUGAGAUGGACCCGCGUUCGAUUAGCCAGUUGGCGGGGUAACGGCCCACCAAAGCGACGAUCGAUAGCCGAUCUGAGAGGAUGACCGGCCACGUUGGGACUGAGACACGGCCCAAACUCCUACGGGAGGCAGCAGUGGGGAAUAUUGCACAAUGGGGGAAGACCUGGUGCAGCGACGCCGCGUGAGUGAAGAAGUAUGUCGGUAUGUAAAGCUCUAUCAGCAGGGAAGAAAAUGACGGUACCUGAGGAAGAAGCCCCGGCUAACUACGUG
RNAcentral lists this ribosomal RNA (478 nucleotides) under uncultured bacterium. RNAcentral describes it as "partial 16S ribosomal RNA". It matches the Rfam family "Bacterial small subunit ribosomal RNA", at positions 28 to 507 of the family's 1533-position model. The record is from RNAcentral.